GUCUUUUUGGUAAUUAAUAUAAAGUCUAACCUGCCCACUGAAUAAAUUUUAAAGGGCCGCAGUAUUUUGACUGUGCAAAGGUAGCAUAAUCAUUAGUCUUUUAAUUGAAGGCUGGUAUGAAUGGUUGAAUAAGAUACAAGCUGUGUCAUAAAAAUUAAUAAUUGAAUUUAACUUUUUAGUCAAAAGGCUAAAAUUUAUUUAAAAGACGAGAAGACCCUAUAGAGCUUUAUAUAUUUGUUAUUUAAAUUAUUAAGAUUUUUAAAAUUUAAUUUUUGAGAUAUAUUUUGUUGGGGUGACAAUAAAAUUUAUAAAACUUUUAUUUAUGAUUAACAUUAAUUUAUGAUUGUAUGAUCCAGUUUUAUUGAUUAUAAAUUUAAGUUACCUUAGGGAUAACAGCGUAAUUUUUUUUGAGAGUUCUUAUCGACAAAAAAGAUUGCGACCUCGAUGUUGGAUUAAGAGUAAUUUUGGGUGUAGAAGUUCAAAAUUUAAGUCUGUUCGACUUUUAAAUUCUUACAU
Molecule: ribosomal RNA, 516 nt
Filed under: Simulium resimum
Lineage: Eukaryota; Metazoa; Arthropoda; Insecta; Diptera; Simuliidae
Description: partial 16S ribosomal RNA
Rfam family: Bacterial large subunit ribosomal RNA
Source: RNAcentral